CUUAAUUCGAUGCAACGCGAAGAACCUUACCUGGGUUUGACAUGCAGGGAAAUCUCGUAGAGAUACGGGGUCCGUAAGGGCCUUGCACAGGUGGUGCAUGGCUGUCGUCAGCUCGUGUCGUGAGAUGUUGGGUUAAGUCCCGCAACGAGCGCAACCCUCGUCCUAUGUUGCCAGCGAGUCAUGUCGGGGACUCAUAGGAGACUGCCGGGGUCAACUCGGAGGAAGGUGGGGAUGACGUCAAGUCAUCAUGCCCCUUAUGUCCAGGGCUGCACACAUGCUACAAUGGCCGGUACAAAGGGCUGCGAUACCGCGAGGUGGAGCGAAUCCCAGAAAGCCGGUCUCAGUUCGGAUUGGGGUCUGCAACUCGACCCCAUGAAGUCGGAGUCGCUAGUAAUCGCAGAUCAGCAACGCUG
Molecule: ribosomal RNA, 413 nt
Filed under: uncultured bacterium
Lineage: Bacteria
Description: bacterial SSU rRNA
Rfam family: Bacterial small subunit ribosomal RNA
Source: RNAcentral